CCCUUAGACGUUCUGGGCCGCACGCGCGCUACACUGACCAGUGCAACAAGCAUCCGUCCUUGGCCGACAGGCUCGGGCAAUCUUUGAACGCUGGUCGUGAUGGGGAUAGACUUUUGCAAUUUUUGGUCUUCAACGAGGAAUUCCUAGUAAACGCAAGUCAUCAACUUGCAUUGAUUACGUCCCUGCCCUUUGUACACACCGCCCGUCGCACCUACCGAUUGAAUGGUCCGGUGAAGCCUCCGGAUUGGCGCGCACCUCGGUGCCGCCGAGAAGUUGGCUAAAUCUUACCAUUUAGAGGAAGGUGAAGUCGUAACA
RNAcentral lists this ribosomal RNA (315 nucleotides) under uncultured eukaryote. RNAcentral's name for it is "partial 18S ribosomal RNA". It matches the Rfam family "Eukaryotic small subunit ribosomal RNA", at positions 1470 to 1796 of the family's 1831-position model. The record is from RNAcentral.